GAUAGACAUGCAUCAUAGUGUUGGGGAACGUAGUAAUUUCAAAAAUUUCCUAUGCACACGCAAGAUCAUGAUGAUGCACAACAACGAGAGGGGAGAGUGUUGUCUACGUACCCACACAGACCGACUGCGGAAGCGUUGACACAACAUAGAGGAAGUAGUCGUACAUCUUCCCGAUCCGACCGAUUCAAGCACCAUUACUCCGGCACCUCCGAGUUCUUAGCACACGUACAGCUCGAUGACAAUCCUCGGGCUCCGAUCUAGCAAAGCGUCGGGGAGGAGUUCCUCAGCACGACAGCGUGGUGACGAUCUUGAUGUUCUACCGUCGCAGGGCUUCGCCUAAGCACUGCUACAAUAUGAUCGAGGUGGAAUAUGGUGGCAGGGGGCACCGCACACGGCUAAGGAACAAUCUCAAGGAUCAACUUGUGUGUCCUAGGGUGCCCCCCUGCCUCCGUAUAUAAAGGAGCCAAGGGGGAGGGGGUGGCCGGCCAAGGAGGGUGCGCCAAGGGAGUCCUACUCCCUCUGGGAGUAGGAUCCCCCCCCCUCAAUCCUAGUUGGAAUAGGAUUCCUCGAGGGGGGAAAGAGAGAGAGGGGGCCGGCCACCUCUCCUUGUACUAAUAGGACUAGGGGAGUGGGGAGGCGCGCGGCCCACCUUGGGCUGCCCCUUUCUCCUUUCCACUAAAGCCCACUAAGGCCCAUAUAGCUCCCGGGGGGUUCCGGUAACCUCCCGGUACUCCCGUAAAAUCCCGAUUUCACCCGGAACACUUCCGAUAUCCAAACAUAGGCUUCCAAUAUAUCAAUCUUUAUGUCUCGACCAUUUCGAGACUCCUCGUCAUGUCCAUGAUCACAUCCGGGACUCCGAACAAUCUUCGGUACAUCAAAAUGCAUAAACUCAUAAUAACUGUCAUCGUAACGUUAAGCGUGCGGACCCUAUGGUUCGAGAACAAUGUAGACAUGACCGAGACAUGUCUCCGGUCAAUAACCAAUAGCGGGACCUGGAUGGCCAUAUUGGCUCCUACAUAUUGUACGAAGAUCUUUAUCGGUCAGACCGCAUAACAACAUAUGUUGUUCCCUUUGUCACCGGUAUGUUACUUGCCCGAGAUUCGAUCGUCAGUAUCCAAUACCUAGUUCAAUCUCGUUACCGGCAAGUCUCUUUACUUGUUCCGUAAUACAUCAUCCCGCAACUAACUCAUUAGUUGCAAUGCUUGCAAGGCUUAUGUGAUGUGCAUUACCGAGAGGGCCCAGAGAUACCUCUCCGACAAUUGGAGUGACAAAUCCUAUUCUCGAAAUACGCCAACCCAACAUCUACCAUUGGAGACACCUAUAGAGCUCCUUUAUAAUCACCCAGUUACGUUGUGACGUUUGGUAGCACACAAAGUGUUCCUCCGGCAAACGGGAGUUGCAUAAUCUCAUAGUCAUAGGAACAUGUAUAAGUCAUGAAGAAAGCAAUAGCAACAUACUAAACGAUCGGGUGCUAAGCUAAUAGAAUGGGCCAUGUCAAUCAGAUCAUUCACCUAAUGAUGUGAUCCCGUUAAUCAAAUAACAACUCUUUGUCCAUGGUUAGGAAACAUAACCAUCUUUGAUUAACGAGCUAGUCAAGUAGAGGCAUACUAGUGACACUCCGUUUGUCUAUGUAUUCACACAUGUAUUAUGUUUCCGGUUAAUACAAUUCUAACAUGAAUAAUAAAAAUUUAUCAUGAAAUAAGGAAAUAAAUAAUAACUUUAUUAUUGCCUCUAGGGCAUAUUUCCUUCAGUCUCCCACUUGCACUAGAGUCAAUAAUCUAGAUCACAUCACCUUGUGAUUAACAUCGAUAGUUCACAUCAUCAUGUGAUUAACAUCCAUAGUUCACAUCGCCAUGUGACCAACACCCAAAGGGUUUACUAGAUUCAGUAAUCUAGUUCACAUCGCUAUGUGAUUAACACGCAAGGAGUACUAAGGUGUGAUCAUGUUUUGCUUGUGAGAGAAUCUUAGUCAACGGGUCUAUCACAUUCAGAUCCGCAUGUAUUUUCUAUGUCAACAAUGCUCUGCAUGGAGCUACUCUAGCUAAUUGCUCCCACUUUCAAUAUGUAUCCAGAUUGAGACUUAGAGUCAUCCAGAUCUGUGUCAAAACUUGCAUCGACGUAACUUUUUAUGAUGAACCUUUUGUCACUUCCAUAAUCGAGAAAUAUUUCCUUAUUCCACUAAGGAUUAUUUUGACCAAUGUCCAGUGAUCUACUCUUAGAUCACUAUUGUACUCCCUUGUUUAACACAGUGUAGGGUAUACAAUAGAUCUGGGACACAUCAUGGCAUACUUUAUAGAACCUAUGGCUCAGGCAUAGGGAAUGACUUUCAUUCUCUUUCUAUCUUCUGCCGUGGUCGGGCUUUGAGUCUUACUCAAUUUCAUACCUUGUAACACAGCCAAGAACUCUUUCUUUGACUGUUCCAUUUUUGAACCACUUCAAAAUAUUGUCAAGGUAUGUACUCAUUGAAAAAACUUAUCAAGCGUCUUGAUCUAUCUCUAUAGAUUUUGAUGCUUAAUAUGUAAGCAGAUUCACCGAGGUCUUUUUCUGGAAAAUUCCUUUCAAACACUCCUUUAUGCUUUGCAGAAUAAUUCUACAUUAUUUCUGAUCAACAAUAUGUCAUUCACAUAUACUUUUCAGAAAUGUUGUAGUGCUCCCACUCACUUUCUUGUAAAUACAGGCUUCAUCGCAAGUCUGUAUAAAACUAUAUGCUUUGAUCAACUUAUCAAAGCGUAUAUUCCAACUCGGAGAUGCUUGCACCAGUCCAUAGAUGGAUCGCUGGAGCUUGCAUAUUUUUUUAGCACCUUUAGGAUUGACAAAACCUUCUGGUUGUAUCAUAUACAACUCUUCUUUAAUAAAUCUAUUAAGGAAUGCAUUUUUGUUUAUCCAUUUGCCAGAUUUCAUAAAAUGCAGCAAUUGCUAACAUGAUUCGGACAGACUUAAGCAUAGAUACAAGUGAGAAAAUCUCAUCGUAGUCAACACCUUGAACUUGUCGAAAACCUUUUGCGACAAUUCUAGCUUUGUAGAUAGUAACACUACUAUCAGCGUCCGUCUUCCUCUUGAAGAUCCAUUUAUUCUCAAUUGCUUGCCGAUCAUCGGGCAAGUCAACCAAAGUCCAUACUUUGUUCUCAUACAUGGAUCCCAUCUCAGAUUUCAUGGCCUCAAGCCAUUUUGCGGAAUCUGGGCUCACCAUCGCUUCUUCAUAGUUCGUAGGUUCAUCAUGGUCAAGUUGCAUGACCUCUAGAACAGGAUUACCGUACCACUCUAGUGCGGAUCUCUCUUUGGUUUACCUACGAGAUUCGGAAGUAACUUGAUCUGAAGUUACAUGAUCAUCAUCAUUAGCUUCCUCACUAAUUGGUGUAGUAGUCACAGGAACAGAUUUCUGUGAUGAACUACUUUCCAAUAAGGGAGAAGGUACAAUUACCUUAUCAAGUUCUACUUUCCUCCCACUCACUUCUUUCGAGAGAACCUCCUUCUCUAGAAAGGAUCCAUUCUUAGCACCAAGUGUCUUGCCUUUGGAUCUAUGAUAGAAGGUGUACCCAACAGUAACUUUUUGGGUAUCCUAUGAAGACACACUUUUUCGAUUUGGGUUUGAGCUUAUCAGGAUGAAAACUUUUUCACAUAAGCAUUGUAACCCCAAACUUUAAGAAACAACAACUUUGGUUUCUUGCCAAACCAUAGUUCAUACGGUGUCGUCUCAACAGAUUUAGAUGGUGCCCUUUUAACGUGAAUGCAGCUAUCUCUAAUGCAUAACCCCAAAACGAUAGUGGUAGAUCGGUAAGAGACAUCAUAGAUUGCACUAUAUCCAAUAAAGCACGGUUAUGACGUUCGGACACACCAUUAUGCUGUGGUGUUCCAUGUGGCAUGAGUUUGUGAAACUAUUCCACAUUGUUAUAAUUGAAGACCAAACACGUAACUCAAAUAUUUGUCUCCACGAUCAGAUCGUAGAAACUUUAUUUUCUUGUCACGAUGAUUAUCCACUUCACUCUGAAAUUCUUUGAACUUUUCAAAUGUUUCAGACUUAUGUUUCAUCAAGCAGAUAUACCCAUAUCUGCUCAAAUCAUAUGUGAAUGUCAGAAAAUAACGAUACCCGCCGCGAGCUUCAACACUCAUCGGAUCGCAUACAUCAGUAUGUAUUAUUUCCAAUAAGUCAGUUGCUCGCUCCGGAGAACGGAGUCUUAGUCAUCUUGCCCAUGAGGCAUGGUUCGCAAGCAUCAAGUGAUUCCAAAAUCCCAUCAGCAUGGAGUUUCUUCAUGCGCUUUACACCAAUUUGACCUAAACGGCAGUGCCACAAAUAAGUUGCACUAUCAUUAUUAACUUUGCAUCUUUUGGUUUCAAUAUUAUGAUUAUGUGUAUCACUACGAUCGAGAUCCAACGAACUAUUUUCAUUGGGUGUGUAACCAUAUAAGGUUUUAUUCAUGUAAACAGAACAACAAUUUAUUCUUUUACUUAAAUGAAUAACCGUAUUAAAAUAAACAUGAUCAAAUCAUAUUCAUGCUUAACGCAAACACCAAAUAACACUUAUUCAGGUUCAACACUAAUCCCGAAAGUAUAGGGAGUGUGCGAUGAUGAUCAUAUCAAUCUUGGAACCACUUCCAACACACAUCGUCACUUUACCCUUAACUAGUCUCUGUUUAUUCUGCAACUCCAGUUUCGAGUUACUAAUCUUAGCAACUGAACUAGUAUCAAAUACUGAGGGGUUGCUAUAAACACUAGUAAAGUACACAUCAAUAACAUGUAUAUCAAAUAUACUUAUGUUCACUUUGCCAUCCUUCUUAUCUGCCAAUCACUUGGGGUAGUUCCGCUUCCAGUGACCAGUCCCUUUGCAGUAGAAACACUUAGUCUCAGGCUUAGGGCCAGACUUGGGCUUCUUCACUUGAGCAGCAACUUGCUUUCUGUUCUUAUUGAAGUUCCCCUUCUUCCCUCUGCCCUUUUCUUGAAACUAGUGGUCUUGUCUACCAUCAACACUUGAUGUUUUUCUCGAUUUCUACCUUCGUCAAUUUCCGCAUUACGAAGAGCUUGGGAAUCGUUUCCGUUAUCCCUUGCAUAUCAUAGUUCAUCACAAAGUUCUACUAACUUGGUGAUGGUGACUAGAGAAUUCUGUCAAUCACUAUCUUAUCUGGAAUAUUAACUCCCACUUGAUUCAAGCGAUUGUUGUACUCAGACAAUCUGGGCACAUGCUCACUAGUUGAGUGAUUCUCCUCCAUCUUUUUGCUAUAGAACUUGUUUGAGACUUUCAUAUCUCUCAACUCGGGUAUUUGCUUGAAAUAUUAACUUCAACUCCUGGAACAUCUCAUAUGCUCCAUGACGUUCAAAACGUCUUUGAAGUCCCGAUUCUAAGCCAUUAAGCAUGGUGCACUAAACUAUCAAGUAGUCAUCAUAUUGAGCUAGCCAAACGUUCAUAACGUCUGCAUCUGCUCCUGCAAUAGGUCCGUCACCUAGCGGUGCAUCAUGGACAUAAUUCUUCUGUGCAGCAAUGAGGAUAAACCUCAGAUCACGGAUCCAAUCCGCAUCAUUGCUACUAACAUCUUUCAACACAAUUUUUCUCUAGGAACAUAUCAAAAUAAACAUAUGAAAGCAAUAACGCGAGCCAUUGAGCUACAACAUAAUUUGCAAAAUACUACCAGGACUAAGUUCAUGAUAAAUUUAAGUUCAAUUAAUCAUAUUACUUAAGAACUCCCACUUAGAUAGACAUCCCUCUAAUCCUCUAAGUGAUCACGUGAUCCAAAUCAACUAAACCAUAACCGAUCAUCAUGUGAAAUGGAGUAGUUUUCAAUGGUGAACAUUGUUAUGUUGAUCAUAUCUACUAUAUGAUUCACGCUCGACCUUUCGGUCUCUGUGUUCCGAGGCCAUAUCUGCAUAUUCUAGGCUCGUCAAGUUUAACCCGAGUAUUCUGCGUGUGCAAAACUGGCUUGCACCCAUUGUAGAUGGACGUAGAGCUUAUCACACCCGAUCAUCACGUGGUGUCUGGGCACGACAAACUUUGGCAACGGUGCAUACUCAGGGAGAACACUUCUUGAUAAUUAGUGAGAGAUCAUCUUAUAAUGCUACCGUCCAACUAAGCAAAAUAAGAUGUAUAAAAGAUAAACAUCACAUGCAAUCAAAAUAUGUGACAUGAUAUGGCCAUCAUCAUCUUGCGCCUUUGAUCUCCAUCUCCGAAGUACUGUCAUGAUCUCUAUCGUCACCGGCAUGACACCAUGAUCUCCAUCAUCUUGAUCUAUAUCAAUGUGUCAUCGCACGGUCGUCUCGCCAACUAUUGCUCUUGCAACUAUUGCUAUCGCAUAGUGAUAAAGUAAAGCAAUUAUUUGGCGCUUGCAUAUUAUGCAAUAAAGAGACAACCAUAAGGCUUUUGCCAGUUGCCGAUAACUUUAACAAAACAAGAUCAUCUCAUACAACAACUUAUUUCUCAUCACGUUUAGACCAUAUCACAUCACAACAUGCCCUGCAAAAACAAGUUAGACGUCCUCUACUUUGUUGUUGCAAGUUUUACGUGGCUGCUACGGGCUUAAGCAAGAACCAAUCUCACCUACGCAUCAAAACCACAACGAUAGUUUGUCAAUUUGACUCCGGUUUAAGAUUCGCAAGGACCGGGCGUAGCCAUACUCGGUUCAACUAAAGUUGGAGAGACAGUCGCCCGUAAGCCACCUAUGUGCAAAGCACGUCGGGGGAACCGGUCUCGCGUAAGCAUACGCGUAAUGUUGGUCCGGGUCGUCUCGUCCAACAAUACCGCUGAACCAAAGUAUGACAUGCUGGUAGGCAGUAUGACUUAUAUCGCCCACAACUCACUUGUGUUCUACUCGUGCAUAUAACAUCAACAUAUAAAACCUGGCUCGGAUGCCACUGUUGGGGAACGUAGUAAUUUCAAAAAUUUCCUACGCACACGCAAGAUCAUGAUGAUGCACAGCAACGAGAGGGGAGAGUGUUGUCUACGUACCCACGUAGACCGACUGCGGAAGCGUUGACACAACGUAGAGGAAGUAGUCGUACGUCUUCCCGAUCCAACCGAUCCAAGCACCGUUACUCUGGCACCUCCGAGUUCUUAGCACACGUACAGCUCGAUGACAAUCCCCGGGCUCCGAUCCAGCAAAGCAUCGGGGAGGAGUUCCGUCAUCACGACGGCGUGGUGAUGAUCUUGAUGUUCUACCGUCGCAGGGCUUCGCCUAAGCACCGCUACAAUAUGAUCGAGGUGGAAUAUGGUGGCAGGGGGCACCGCACACGGCUAAGGAAGGAUCUCAAGGAUCAACUUGUGUGUCCUAGGGUGCCCCCUGCCUCCGUAUAUAAAGGAGCCAAGGGGGAGGGGGCGGCCGGCCAAGGAGGGCGCGCCAAGGGAAUUCUACUCCCUCUAGGAGUAGGAUUCCCCCCCAAUCCUAGUUGGAAUAAGAUUCCUCGAGGGCGGAAAGAGAGAGAGGGGGCCGGCCACCUCUCGUUGUCCUAAUAGGACCAGGGGAGGGGGAAGGCACGCGGCCCACCUUGGGCUGCCCCUUUCUCCUUUCCACUAAAGCCCACUAAGGCCCAUAUAGCUCCCGGGGCUUCCGGUAACCUCCCAGUACUCAGGUAAAAUCCUGAUUUCACCUGGAACACUUCCGAUAUCCAAACAUAGGCUUCCAAUAUAUCAAUCUUUAUGUCUCGACCAUUUCGAGACUCCUCGCCAUGUCCAUGAUCACAUCCGGGACUCCGAACAAUCUUCGGUACAUCAAAAUGCAUAAACUCAUAAUAACUGUCAUCGUAACAUUAAGCGUGCGGACCCUAUGGUUCGAGAACAAUGUAGACAUGACCAAGACACGUCUCCGGUCAAUAACCAAUAGCGGGACCUGGAUGCCCAUAUUGGCUCCUACAUAUUCUACGAAGAUCUUUAUCGGUCAGACCGCAUAACAACAUACGUUGUUCCCUUUGUCAUCGGUAUGUUACUUGCCCGAGAUUCGAUCGUCGAUAUCCAAUACCUAGUUCAAUCUCGUUACCAGCAAGUCUCUUUACUCGUUCCGUAAUACAUCAUCCAGCAACUAAAUCAUUAGUUGCAAGGCUUGCAAGGCUUAUGUGAUGUGCAUUACCGAGAGGGCCCAGAGAUACCUCUUCGACAAUCGGAGUGACAAAUCCUAUUCUCGAAAUACGCCAACCCAACAUCUACCUUUGGAGACACCUGUAGAGCUCCUUUAUAAUCACCCAGUUACGUUGUGACGUUUGGUAGCACACAAAGUGUUCCUCCGGCAAACGGGAGUUGCAUAAUCUCAUAGUCAUAGGAACAUGUAUAAGUCAUGAAGAAAGCAAUAGCAACAUACUAAACGAUCGGGUGCUAAGCUAAUGGAAUGGGUCAUGUCAAUCAGAUCAUUCACCUAAUGAUGUGAUCCCGUUAAUCAAAUAACAACUCUUUGUCCAUGGUUAGGAAACAUAAAUAUCUUUGAUUAACGAGCUAGUCAAGUAGAGGCAUACUAGUGACACUCUGUUUGUCUAUGUAUUCACACAUGUAUUAUGUUUCCGGUUAAUACAAUUCUAGCAUGAAUAAUAAACAUUUAUCAUGAAAUAAGGAAAUAAAUAAUAACUUUAUUAUUGCCUCUAGGGCAUAUUUCCUUCACAUAGGCAGUACUUGUUUCUAAGUUAGCUAAGCAUAAUCUGUUGUUUAAUCCAAAUUGUGUUAUCAAAAGUUGCGCAGAAUGUGUUCUGGUCUUGCUUCAUGGAUCAGUUUUCUCAUUAACUACUGUACCUGGACAACAGUUUGCUCCACUAAUGUUAUAUCUCUCUCAUUGUAGGAUGGCAAGUUGUGGCAGCUGGAGCAUGUCGCAUAAGAGAGAGCAAUGAAAUCCAUUGUACUGUUCCGUUAAAAAAAAGUACAUUGUGUUGUUAUGAUAGUAGCAGAUGUUCCAUCAUUUUCUUAUUGUAUAUUCCUGUGUAAGGAAUUGUAUUCCUGAGAUGAUUUUUUGUGUUAUGUAAACCUGGGAGAUAUUUUCUUUCUGUGUUAUGUAAACCUGUGAGUUUUCCUAAUUUGAAUGAAAUAAUGUUGGAUGUAUGUGUGUGAUUGGGAUAAAGUCUGCUUGGGCCAAACUGGACAAAUAAUUGGGCUAAAACAGGCCACAUACCAACAAGCAUCGAACAAUUUCAAAAAUGAAAUGAAAAGUCUUACAGAAAAAAGAAAUGGACUGCAAAAAGCUCGAGGGCCAAAAAAAUUGCAUGAAUCUAAAAAACGAACAAGGCUGAAUUGUUGGGCUUGGCCCAUGAAGCCGAUAAAAAUUGACAGAAAAAAUAUAUAAAAAGGCCGAAUUGUUGGGCUCGGCCCAUGUAAAACGUCAAAUCGGACCGGGCUGAAUCUUGUGCCACAUCAGCUUGCCACGCUGGAUGCCUACGUGGCCUGCGGAGGUUGCUAGUGACCAAAACAAAUCAGUAGGCACAUUCUGGUCGUAAAUGUCCACGACCUUCUCACAGAGAAGGUCGUUAAUUUUAGAUUACGACCGCCAGCUUUUGACCUUCUGUUGUUGGUCAAAAAAAGGUCGCAAAUGAAAAACAAUGACCUUUCAGUGACCAAUAGUCAAGGUCACAAGUUGACAUAUUUGUUUUAGUGCAUAAUCAUAGAAUGCGGCAAUUUCUAACAUGAUUCGGAUGGAAUUUAGCUUCGCUACGGGUGAGAAACUCUCAUCGUAGUGAACUCCUUGAACUUGUCGAUAACCCUUAGCGACAAGCCGAGCCUUAUAGAUGGUCACAUUACCAUCCGUGUUUGUCUUCUUCUAUCUCGGAUUUCAAAGCUUCCAGCCAUUUGUCGGAAUCUGGGCCCACCAUCGCUUCUUCAUAGUUUGAAGGUUCACCAUUGUCUAACAACAUGAUUUCCAGGACAGGGUUGUCGUACAACUCUGGUGCGGAACGUGUCCUUGUGGACCUACGAAGUUCAGUAGCAACUUGAUCUGAAGUUUCAUGAUCAUCAUCAUUAACUUCCUCUCUAGUCGGUGCAGGCACCUCAGGAACAUUUUCUUGAGCUGCACCACUCUUCGUUUCAAGAGGCAAUACUUCAUCAAGUUCUACUUUCCUCCCACUUACUUCUUUCGAGAGAAACUCUUUCUCUAGAAAGGAUCCAUUCUCGGCAACAAAGAUCUUGCCUUCGGAUCUGAGGUAGAAGGUAUACCCAAUAGUUUCUUUAGGGUAUCCUAUGAAGACGCAUUUUUCCGAUUUGGGUUUGAGCUUUUCAGGUUGAAGUUUCUUGACAUAAGCAUCGCAUCCCCAAACUUUCAGAAACGACAACUUAGGUUUCUUACCAAACCACAAUUCAUACGGUGUCGUCUCAACGGAUUUCGACGGAGCCCCAUUUAAAGUGAAUGCGGCAGCCUCUAUAGCAUAACCCCAAAAUGACAGCGGUAGAUCGGUAAGAGACAUCAUAGAUCGUACCAUAUCCAAUAGAGUGCGAUUACGACAUUCGGACACACCAUUACACUGAGGUGUUCCAGGUGGCGUGAGUUGUGAAAAAUUCCGCAUUUUCUUAAGUGCGUGCCAAAUUCGUGACUCAAAUAUUCUCCCCCAUGAUCUGAUUGUAAGAACUUGAUUUUCCCGUCACGUUGAUUCUCAACCUCACUCUGAAAUUCCUUGAACUUUUCAAAGGUCUCAGACUUUUGUUUCAUUAAGUAGACAUACCCAUAUCUACUCAAGUCAUCCGUGAGGGUGAGAACAUAACGAUAGCCUCCGCGAGCCUCAACACUCAUUGGACCGCACAUAUCAGUAUGUAUGAUUUCCAAUAAGUUUGUUGCUCGCUCCAUUGUUCCGGAGAAUGGAGUCUUGGUCAUUUUGCCCAUGAGGCAUGGUUCGCACGUGUCAAAUGAUUCAUAAUCAAGAGACUCCAAAAGUCCAUCUGCAUGGAGUUUCUUCAUGCGUUUGACACCAAUGUGACUAAGGCGGCAGUGCCACAAGUAUGUUGACCUAUCAUUAUCAACCUUACAUAUUUUGGAAUUCAGACUAUGAAUAUGUGUAACAUCACGUUCAAGAUUAAAUAAGAAUAAACCAUUGACCAGCGGGGCACGACCAUAAAACAUGUCUCUCAUAUAAAUAGAACAACCAUCAUUCUCAGACUUAAAUGAGUAGCCAUCUCGCAUUAAACGAUAUCUAGAUACAAUGAUCAUGCUCAAAGCUGGUACUAAAUAACAAUUAUUGAGGUUUAAACUAAUCCCAUAGGUAAAUCACUACGGGAAACAGGAGAUUUGCCGUCAGCAUUUCGUUGGGGCAGACGGCAAAGAAAGGGUUUGUCGUGAUCAACAGACGGCAAAGAAAAAGUAACGGUAAAAUAGACUUUGCCGUCUGCAAAUAAACUACAAACGGCAAAGAGCUCACUUUGCCGUCUGCAAAAAAAUACAGACGGCAAAGAGCUCACUUUGCCAUCUGUAAUAUAAAAUGCAGACGGCAAAUAUCUUUAGCAUCUGUAUUUUUUUACAGACAGCAAAGUGAGCUCUUUGCCGUCUGUAAUAAAAAUUACAGACGGCAAAGAGAAAGCAUACCACGCGGAUCGAUGAUGUGGCAGCAUCUCAACCCACACAGCCCCGGGCACAAUCGCAGCCCACCCCAACACUAUCCCAUGCCCGACCCCACCAUGCUCUCUCUCCCUUAUCCCGCACGCUCUCUCCCUUAUCCGCACGAUCUCUCUCUCUCUCUCUCUCGUACCUGUCUCUCUCUCUCUCUGACGCACGCACGUAGCCCACCCCCACCACCUCGCCCGCGUCCCGAUCCACUCGCGGUGCCACCAGCCGCGGCUCCUCCAGCCGGCCAACCCUCUGCCACCGCUAGCACACCUUCGUCCUCCACUUCAUGUGCUCCGCCUCCUCGGUUUACCUCCUUCCCCUUGCUGUGGGCAGGGCGGCCGGCGCGGGAGGCGGCUUCAGCUCCUCCAGCAGGGCGGUCGGCGCGAGCCAGGCUUGGCCGGUGCGGGCAGAGCGGCCGGCACGGGAGGCUGCUGCAACUUCUCAAGCGGGGCGGGCGGCGCGAGUAGGACAUGGCCGGUGCGGGCAGAGCGGCCGGCGUGGGAGGCUGCUGUGAGCGACGCACGGGCGGGCAGCGGCCGUGCGGCGCGAGCAGGGCAUGGCCGGUGUGGGAGGCCGCUGCGGGUAGGGGAACAGCUCCGGGUGGUGCUUCGGGCCGGCGUGGGCAGAGCGGACAGUGUCUCCUCCGUUCGGCUCCAAUUGGUGCUGCGGGUCAGCGUGGUCAGGGCAAGGCGGUGGCUAUGUGUCACGACCGGUUUCUCCGGACAUUGAUUUCCAGAAAAUGGCCGUCGUGCUCACCAGCCCCAGGAUUACUGUUAUCUGAUGAGGCACCAACUUGAUACAGAAAUUCCAAGCAAAAAUACAAAAUAUGUAGUACAAGACCAUUGUGGCCUAUGAGUACGUCAAAUGGUUUCUAGUGGUUGAUGGCGGAAGCGGUUUGUGGGUCAUCAAUGUCUAUGGGACUCCAUUUCCCGCAGGAACAGCUGACCAGGUUAACUCCUAUCUUCGCGAGGCUGCUAUCACCGUUGCUUAGUUUCCGAGGAUGUCACCGCAACGCUCCUCUCCAAGCAGAAAUCUGGCCAAGACAAUAGCCAGGGACAAGCCAAUGAGUACUUUGAAUGUACUCGCAAACAUUAAGAACACAGGUAUAAUAUAAUUGAUAAUCAUGCAUUGAAAAAUUCCAUGAUCACAUCGUCAGUCAUAAAUAAAGCAUCUUUUAUGCAUGCAAGCAGGUUAUUUUUAUGCAACAUGAAUAAGCAGUAAUAGAGUGGGAAUAAAAUGCCGCAGUCGGGCGUUUAAGCGACACCACAUAAAGGGCUUUAAAAGAAAUGCCACAGUCGGGCGUCUGAGCGACACCACAUAAAGGGCUUUAAAAGAAAUGCCACAGUAGGGUGUCUGAGCGACACCACAUAAAGGGCUUAUAAGAGAAAUGCCACAGUCGGGCAUCUGAGCGACACCACAUAAAGGGCUUAUAAGAGAAAUGCCACAGUCGGGCAUCUGAGCGACACCACAUAAAGGGCUUUAAAAGAAAUGCCACAGUCGGGCGUCUGGGCGACACCACAUAAAGGGCUUUAAAAGAAAUGCCACAGUCGGGCGUCUGGGCGACACCGCAUAAAGGUCUUAUAAGAGAAAUGCCACAGUCGGGCGUCUCGCGACACCACAUAAAGGGCUUAUAAAAUAAAUAAUCACAAUGAAUAUCCAGGAGGUAGAACCAUCCCAGGGAUACUCGAUAAUACAGAUAAUGCAACGUGUUAGUCCAUCACAAAAUAAUAAUCAUGGUCCUCACAAGUAACUAGUCGGUAUCCAAGUGUGGUUUAACAAUAUCUCCUCCGAAGACCGACACUAAGACCAACACUUGACCCAUCCCAGACUGUAAUCCUUAACCAUGGACACGGCUAUUGGAAUAGGUUUAAUCUCUGCAGAGGGUGUACUCUUUACCCACGAGUAACGGAUUCCUUUAGUCCAGCGGGACUAAUUCCGUCUACGGCCUUUUAGUUGAAAACACGCCUAACUUGCACACACCAGCUUAACUCAUCGGUGUUUGGAAUCACCCACAACACUUGUUAAGCAAAACUCUAAGUGGGGAGGCUACAACCUCGCGUAGCAUGGGAUCAAAUUUAUAUCGCGCGCUCUAAGGGGUGGCCUCCCCUCUCGGUCCCAACCGGAAACACCCAUGCCCCCGGACCAGGUGGCCUGCCUACCGGCUACAACCGGUAUCUUCCACCAUGGCCUCUCUGUACGGUGUGUGCUUGAAAGGGGUUGACGACUUACUGAACCGUACCCUACCUGCGGCAGGGACAAGUGGUAGUACAAAACAAGUAUGGAGGUUACUGGAACAAAACUCGAUCUACGGUCGACUCAGGAGGUUUACAAAUUACCUGCAUGACAUGUAUAUCAAAUAUAUUUCAACCGACGAAAUCACCACCCAUUAUACCUUACUAUGCCAUACCGGACAUAACCGUCCCGACGGGGACCGGCGACAAGCUCACUCCUACCCAAGGCAGAGGCUUUCCCGGAUUCCUUUCCGGCAUGCAUGCAAGGCACAUGAGGAUGAUUACCAUCACAAGUAUAUUCAUUUCCAACAGCAAGGAAAUCACUAUAUGCAUUCAUGUAAAUGAUCAUAUCACAUGAAAUAACAAGUUCUCCGAUAUAAGGUGGUGUUAUAAACGUGUCAACUAACACACCAAAAAAUAUUAUUCCGGGGUUCAGAAUGCUUGCCUUCAAUGGUGUGGAAAGGCAGGGUGCACUCCAAAACUUUUGAAAGCUUUCUUCUCUUCCAAAAUCCUAUUUUCAAAAAUAUGCAAAUAACACAUAUUUCAAAAACAGUACAAAAAAGUUGUUUGGAAAAUUUUCAAAUAAAUCUUAAAAUAAACUAGACAGAAUUUGAGAGAUGUAGGAAAAAGAAUCAAUUCAUUUGGAGUUAUAUUUAAAAAGUUAAGCUCAGUCAAAGUUUUGGUCAAAAUCUGUUAUUUAAAAUUAAAACAGAAAAAAGAAAAAUGUUUCGAAUAUACGUACACGUCGAAGGCGUACUCUGGAAAUACGCCUCCACUUAUCCAGCAUGGACUGCGCGUGGGUCACCGACAGUGGGCCCGCCUGGCCCGCUGGUCAGGUUUGACUGGUCCACGCGCGCGUCGUCUCUCCCUGAGCGAACAGAGGCGGAGCUCCGGCGAGGCUCGCCGGCGAAUGGCGGCGUCCCUCGGUGAUCUGAGCGCAUGGGCGUGCUCAGGAGGUCGAGACGAACUCGGGGGUACCCGCCAUGGUCACCGACGUGGACGGAGUUGCCGGCGACGAGCUUCGCGGCGGAGAUGGCUUCGGGGGCGAAGUGAGUUUGGGGCUGCGGUGGUUCCCGAUCAAAAUCGAGCAGGGGAACGAGUUCAUAGGAGGAUGAGAAGGUUCCUGGUGAAGAGAACGGAGAGGGGGAGGCCCUGGUGGUGCCGGAAUGGCCGGGGCAGUGGCGGCUGCUGCGGUUGCCGGAGAUGGGGAAGGAGACCUCCCCGGGUCGAAUGCGAGCUAUGGGAGCGCCAUUGGGGUGGCCUGAGGUUGCCUGCGUGCUCGGGGGAGUUCGGGGACGUCCUUUUCUAGUGCGACGAGGUCGGUUCCGCGGCGGUGGAUGAGGAUGCCGGCAAACCGCCUCUCUGUAGCUUGUAGGGCGACGUGGAGGCGACGAGAGCUAGCCGACGAGCGAGGAGAUAAGCUCGUGCGGCUACCAGGGGCAGGUGGCGACCCGGGGUGGCUUGGGCGGCGCUGCCCAUGGCGGUGGCGGAUGCGGCCGCGGGCAUGCCGCCAAGCGGCUCUGACGGCGGUGCUGCAGGGCACCAGGGCCUGCUUGGCGUGUUGCGGUGAGAGGGAGAGUGUGUGGCGCGGCUCUCUGGUGCGGGAAAAACUAGGGGCACGACGUGGCGACUCGGGCGCGGCACGUGCAAAACGCGCGCUCUGCUCGCGGCCAGAGCACACACUGAACGUGCUCGACAAAAUGCUAAAGCAUGCUAGAGGUCGCGGUUGAGGCUGGGAAGAAACAAGGCUAGGUUAGGGUUAGUUAGAGGGUGAAUGGACCUGGUGGUUAGGCCAGGUGGCCAAGUUCACAAUGUAAACUUGAGUCCAUGCCAAAUCUGGCUAUGCACACAGGGUGUUUGUCAAAAUGCCAAGGGCAUCUAGGCAAUACUUGGGGUGGCCAAAAUCUCCAGAUCAAGGUCUCCUUAGAUGCAAGAGAGAGUGGUGAGGUCAUUUGGACAAAAGGAGAAACUUGCUAGUGCAAGUUUUGCUGAACUUCAAUUCUGGACAGGAGAUAGAUGGCAUCAUUUCAUGAACUAAAAAUGAUCCAAUAAGUGCAUGCUCCUGGACUUAGGGGUUUUGCAGGGAGGACUAUAAGUAUGAAAAAGAAUCAAGAGCUAAAGAGCAAGCAAGAAUAGGGUUGUUGUACAAACCAUCAUGUUGGACCGGAAUGGAGAUGAGGUUGUUUCACUCAAAAUUUUCAAAUAAAAUCACUGGGUUUUUGCAUAAAGUUGAAUCAUAUGCUACUACCAACAUCCCAUAAUUUUGGUGGAGGCCAGAAAGAAAUAUUUAAAAGGGUUGUAGUGCAAAAUUGCACUCUGGACCAGAGAAGAAAAAAUGAUGCAGAGCUCAAAAUAUUACAUGAAUAAAAGAUAUUUUUGUAUAGAAGUGAUUUAAAAACAUCACAUGACAUCUCCAAAUUUUGGUUGGAAUUUUAGGUGAAUUUAUCAAAUGGUUGUAGUUAAAUUAUGGCCAUAUAACCUUGGAAAACCAUUUUUCAAGAAAAUAAAGAUUAAGCAAAUUAAUUAUGUAAUUAGUUAUACUGAUAAAAGAAAAGUUUUUCUUGAGAGGUUAAACAAGUCCAAUAACAUAUUCGAAAUGUUUUCAUUUUAGGGGAAAACUCAAUGAUAAUAAGAAAGGAAAUGUUUAAAAAAAUCAAAAGGGAGUCCAAAAAUCAAAGUUUUAAUUCCUGGCAGAAAUUUUAAUUUAAUAAAACAAGGCCAAAAUUUUGGGGUGUCACAACACUACCCCCCUUAAGAAAAAUCUCAUCCUUGAGAUUUGUUAAAAGCUGUUUUAAGAAAAACUAUACGCAAUAAAAAUGUGGCUACAGUGAGAGGGCAAUAAGUGGUGAAAAACCACAGUGUGAAUACUGGUGCUGCGUGGAAAAAUCUACGGUUCGGGACAAAAACGUGAGAUUUCUACGUCGGACGUAGUAAAUUUAGAAUAAAUUCUAAAUCUUAUAAUAUGCUGGUCGUACCCGAGAGCACAGUGCUCUCUCUGGCCGACAGGUGGACCCGGGGCCCACUGUCAGCCUCUUCUUCUCCCUCUGGUUCUCUCUUCUUCCUCUCUCCCGCGCACUUUCCCGCGCUUUCUCCACCGGCGAUGUCUAGCGCGUAGGGCAUCUAGGCCGUACCGCGGUAGUGCGCGGCGUGCUAGCUGCCGGUGCAGCGUGCACUCACCUCGCGGGCCAGCGCGCUGUCGGCACUGCUCGCGGAUUCGUCUCCGAACACCGGCGAUCGGCGACGAGCGGCGUUGGUGGACUUCGCCCAUCGUACACCGAGCUCGAGCUAUAAAACGGCCGGGGUGCCCCUCUCUUCUUCCUCACACCUGGCCUCACUUCUCCUCCUCCUUCUUCCUCCAUUACUUCUUACAAAAGCUCGGGUUAGGCUCUAAUGGCGGAGGCGAUGCCGGACUGGUUUGCGGUCCUGAUAUGCGGAGGGUUGGCGACACUACUGGGGCUCUCCGUGCUCCUGUGCGUGAUGAUCCUCGACGAUCGUCGCGAAGCUGCUGCUCGGGUGUUGGCUCUCCGCGGUGGUGGUGAUCACGAGGAGUAGAUGGGGUGUGCCGGGUGCUAACUGUUGUUAGGGGGUGAUUAGCUGGAUGUAACACCGUUGCAAAGUUUUGCAAACAGUGUAUGCGUUCGAAUGAUUAUGGUUGUGAGUCUGCUGCCGUGGUGCUGUGUGAAAUUAAAUAAUCCACGCCGUGAGAAGGUGCAGAUGUAGCAACUCAGGGAAAAGAAAUCUCACUCCAGGAUUUUGCGAGGGAAAAACAGUUAAUUUAAAGGAGCAUAAACCACAACAAAAACUACACACAUUAGUAGAAGACAAAUAAUUGACUCGUCGUACAAACUUAGGGUAUCACGCAUAAGUCACACACAUAAAUAAAUGUUGCAAUAAUGAACACCGCAUCGACGUCUAAAAUGGAAACGGUAACUAGGCGGGGUCCCUAGAAAACGUCUCUGGUACUGGGAUACACUCCUCUUCUAUCAGGGGAAGUGGAUUGACCUGUCGAUGCACGUGUCUCUCCUGGUCGGGCCUUAGUGCUCUGCCGAUGGCGAUCUGAGGAUUUAAAUCUGCGAGGCUCUGUAGAUAACCGAUCACACAUUGGGUUAAACGCUCUUGAGCGAUGACGUACUGGACAAGGUUGGCCAGGACCGGGUCUCUCUCAAUUUGUCCACCAGGAAAAGAUGUCACUCCUCCAGGUGCUGCACGGCUCGGGAAGUAAUAAUACCCUCGUUCGCUGGCAUAGGGUACCGCGAAUCGAAGGCGAGCAAGCACUUCGUAUGCAACAGCUUCUAUGGCCAUAUGUGGGGUUGUCAUAGAUUUCCCCACAAAGGAGACCUCCGUUGGAUCUUGGUUUGAGUCUACGGGAGGGAUGUGUACUGCUGCCCAAUAUCUCGAGGUGGAAGGGGUGAUCCUUGAUUUGAACAGCUUGUACUGGGGUGGCUGGGUAGCGCCCAUGGUACUGCAGGUAAAAUCCCACAAUAUUUUGACAAAACUACCCUGGGUUGCAUCUGGGGUUCUCAGGUAAAUGCUGGGGGUCGACAUGGCAAGAAAUGGUUGUGAGGGUGGUGCACAAGGUGAGAGGUGCUUGGCAAGGUCACAUGGUGGCCUUUUUAUAUCACCGGAGCUGGGUCAUUUUACCGUGGUGAAUGGUAAUAAAAUUUCCAGCUCUGCUCCACGGGUUGGGGUCAAGCCACAGAUACACUAAUGUGAUGUGUUACUGUGGGGGUUGUCGGAGAGGUUUUUGGUAACUGUGCCUUGGAUAGAAAUUUAUACUGCAUGCUGUCAUAUCCAUGUAAGGCUACAGAGGCACAACGACAGGUGGCGUUUAUUUACAAGGUCACACGAUUACAAAGUGAGGAUACACUGGGACUCGACACUACUCGAGAGACUUAGUCUACCUCGUUUACAUCCAAGCGGGUGUGCCUUGUGGAUGUUGAGGCUUCUCCACGGGUCUCGUCGUCGGGAUUAGCUGGAGUGGGUUGAGGGGCUGCAGGCUCGGGGUAGCGAUGAGGACCAUCUCGGGGAUUGUUGGCCACAACCCCGUUGGAGUGUGUUCCCAAUAUGCGACGAAGCACUUCUGGGGUUAUCGCAGCACCUUGGCCGAUGGCUGGGGCAGGCCUCAGGGACUCGAUCGGGUGUCCAAACAGCACGACUGGGUUGUCGGUGUUGGGCUCGUUCUCUUCUCUCGCCGGGGCUCGACGAACCAGCUCUCCACGAGCUGCGAUUAGAUCAAUAGUGAUUUGAUCGCACAGUUCCUCUAGUGCACUUACAUAGCGCACUAGGUGCAACAAUGCAGGAUCUGUCUUGUGAUCUCCGUUGGCAACUUGGGAUGGUCUGCCAUACCCUUCACGUCUGGGGUAGUAGUGGAACGAGCGACAGUUUACUCUGGGCGACAAGUGCCGGAGAUGAACUAUAGCUUCUCGAGCAGCUAGUUGGAUGGCUUGUGGCUCAAAGGAAGUCGUUCUUCCGGUGAACCUGUAGGGGCGUUCGGGUGCUAGACCCCUACCGUAGAUGUGUACAGUGGCCCAGAAUUGACGGUUCUCACUGCUCAUGGGUCCUUGGUACACAACAUAUACUGGGGGCUCUUCUAACGCAUAGGCACGACGGGUGAGGUUUGCGAGUAUGGUCACAAAGCCUCCAAGGUUGGUUGCCGUGGUCUCAUUGUGCACGACAGGGCCAGGCAUUGUACCUUGGUUUGGGGUAGAGGCUGUGCUGUGCUGUGUUGGGGCUAGCAUGCCCCUUUUUAUAGGAAAAAGGGGACGGAGUCUUCCUUUGCACGCUUGCGAGAAAGGACUAUUUAAGAUUCGAUCACUGGCGCAUGAGCGAUAGGUUAGCUUGAUAGGUUGGGCACCGACUGCCAAAAGGUGUUGGGUCACUAUGUGGCUAUCUGGCACGAGAAGCUUGGCUGGGGUUUGGUUAUGGUUUGGUGGGUUGGUUUGCCUAAGUUUAUAUACCCGGCUAAGAUAGGAUAAGCCAAUGGUCAGCCUGGCUCUGAUACCAAGUCUGUCACGACCGGUUUCUCCGGACAUUGAUUUCCAGAAAAUGGCCGUCGUGCUCACCAGCCCCAGGAUUACUGUUAGCUGACGAGGCACCAACUUGAUACAGAAAUUCCAAGCAAAAAUACAAAAUAUGUAGUACAAGACCAUUGUGGCCUAUGAGUACGUCAAAUGGUUUCUAGUGGUUGAUGGCGGAAGCGGUUUGUGGGUCAUCAGUGUCUAUGGGACUCCAUUUCCCACAGGAACAGCUGACCAGGUUAACUCCUAUCUUCACGAGGCUGCUAUCACCGUUGCUUAGUUUCCGGGGAUGUCACCGCAACGCUCCUCUCCAAGCAGAAAUCUGGCCAAGACAAUAGCCAGGGACAAGCCAGUGAGUACUUUGAAUGUACUCGCAAACAUUAAGAACACAGGUAUAAUAUAAUUGAUAAUCAUGCACUGAAAAAUUCCAUGAUCACAUCGUCAGUCAUAAAUAAAGCAUCUUUUAUGCAUGCAAGCAGGUUAUUUUCAUGCAACAUGAAAAAGCAGUAAUAGAGUGGGAAUAAAAUGCCGCAGUCGGGCGUCUGAGCUACACCACAUAAAGGGCUUUAAAAGAAAUGCCACACUCGGGCGUCUGAGCGACACCACAUAAAGGGCUUUAAAAGAAAUGCCACAGUCGGGCGUCUGAGCGACACCACAUAAAGGGCUUAUAAGAGAAAUGCCACAGUCGGGCGUCUGAGCGACACCACAUAAAGGGCUUUAAAAGAAAUGCCACAGUCGGGCGUCUGGGCGACACCACAUAAAGGGCUUAUAAGAGAAAUGCCACAGUUGGGCGUCUCAGCGACACCACAUAAAGGGCUUAUAAAAUAAAUAAUCACAAUGAAUAUCCAGGAGGUAGAACCGUCCCAGGGAUACUCGAUAAUACAGAUAAUGCAACGGGUUAGUCCAUCACAAAAUAAUAAUCAUGGUCCUCACAAGUAACUAGUCGGUAUCCAAGUGUGGUUUAACAAUAUCUCCUCCGAAGACCGACACUAAGACCAACACUUGACCCAUCCCAGACUGUAAUCCUUAACCAUGGACACGGCUAUUCGAAUAGGUUUAAUCUCUACAGAGGGUGUACUCUUUACCCACGAGUAACGGAUUCCUUUAGUCCGUCGGGACUAAUUCCGUCUACGGACUUUUAGUUGAAAACACGCCUAACUUGCACACACCAGCUUAACUCAUCGGUGUCUGGAAUCACCCACGACACUUGUUAAGCAAAACUCUAAGUGGGGAGGCUACAACUUCGCGUAGCAUGGGAUCAAAUUUAUAUCGCGCGCUCUAAGGGGUGGACUCCCCUCUCGGUCCCAACCGGAAACACCCAUGCCCCCGGACCAGGUGGCCUGCCUACCGGCUACAACCGGUAUCUUCCACCAUGGCCUCUCUGUAUGCUUUGUGCUUGAAAGGGGUUGACGACUUACUGAACCGUACCCAACCUGCGGCAGGGACAAGUGGUAGUACAAAACAAGUAUGGGUGUUACUGGAACAAAACUCGAUCUACGGUCGACUCAGGAGGUUUAUAAGUUCCCUGCAUGACAUGUAUAUCAAAUAUAUUUCAACCGACGAAAUCACCACCCAUUAUACCUUACUAUGCCAUACCGGACAUAACCGUCCCGACGGGGACCGGCGACAAGCUCACUCCUACCCAAGGCAGAGGCUUUCCCGGAUUCCUUUCCGGCAUGCAUGCAAGGCACAUGAGGAUGAUUACCAUCACAAGUAUAUUCAUUUCCAACAGCAAGGAAAUCACUAUAUGCAUUCAUGUAAAUGAUCAUAUCACAUGAAAUAACAAGUUCUCCGAUAUAAGGUGGUGUUAUAAACGUGUCAACUAACACACCAAAAAAUAUUAUUCCGGGGUUCAGAAUGCUUUCCUUCAAUGGUGUGGAAAGGCAGGGUGCACUCCAAAACUUUUGAAAGCUUUCUUCUCUUCCAAAAUCCUAUUUUCAAAAAUAUGCAAAUAACACAUAUUUCAAAAACAGUACAAAAAAGUUGUUUGGAAAAUUUUCAAAUAAAUCUUAAAAUAAACUAGACAGAAUUUGAGAGGUGUAGGAAAAAGAAUCAAUUCAUUUGGAGUUAUAUUUAAAAAGUUAAGCUCAGUCAAAGUUUUGGUCAAAAUCUGUUAUUUAAAAUUAAAACAGAAAAAGAAAAACGUUUCGAAUAUACGUACACGUCGAAGGAGUACUCUGGAAAUACGCCUCCACUUAUCCAGCGUGGACUGCGCGUGGGUCACCGACAGUGGGCCCGCCUGGCCCACUGGUCAGGUUUGACUGGUCCACGCGCGCGUCGUCUCUCCCUGACCGAACAGAGGCGGAGCUCCGGCGAGGCUCGCCGGCGAAUGGCGGCGUCCCUCGGUGAUCUGAGCGCAUGGGCGUGCUCAGGAGGUCGAGACGAACUCGGGGGUACCCGCCAUGGUCGCCGACGUGGACGGAGUUGCCGGCGACGAGCUUCGUGGCAGAGAUGGCUUCGGGGGCGAAGUGAGUUUGGGGCUGCGGUGGUUCCCGAUCAAAAUCGAGCAGGGGAACGAGUUCACGGGAGGAUGAGAAGGUUCCUGGUGAAGAGAACGGAGAGGGGGAGGCCCUGGUGGUGCCGGAAUGGCCGGGGCAGUGGUGGCAGCUGCGGUUGCCGGAGAUGGGAAAGGAGACCUCCCCGGGUCGAAUGCGAGCUAGGGGAGCGCCAUUGGGGUGGCCUGAGGUUGCCUGCGUGCUCGGGGGAGUUCGGGGACCUCCUUUUAUAGCGCGACGAGGUCGGUUCCGCGGCGGUGGAUGAGGAUGUUGGCGAACCGCCUCUCUGUAGCUUGCAGGGCGACGUGGAGGUGACGAGAGCUAGCCGACGAGCGAGGAGAUAAGAUCGUGCGGCUCCCAGGGGCAAGUGGCGAGCCGGGGUGGCUUGGGCGGCGCUGCCCAUGGCGGUGGCGGAUGCAGCCGCGGGCAUGCCGCCAAGCGGCUCUGACGGCGGUGCUGCAGGGCACCAGGGCCUGCUUGGUGUGUUGCGGUGAGAGGGAGAGUGCGUGGCGCGGCUCUCUGGUGCGGGAAAAACUAGGGGCACGACGUGGUGACUCGGGCGCGGCUCGUGCAAAACGCGCGCUCUGCUCGCGGCCAGAGCACGCACCGAACGUGCUCGACGAAAUGCUAAAGCAUUCUAGAGGUCGCGAUUGAGGCUGGGAAGAAACAGGGCUAGGUUAGGGUUAGUUAGAGGGUGAAUGGACCUGGUGGUUAGGUCAGGUGGCCAUGUUCACAAUGUCAACUUGAAUCCAUGCCAAAUCUGGCUAUGCACACAGGGUGUUUGUCGAAAUGCCAAGGGCAUCUAGGCAAUACUUGGGGUGGCCAAAAUCUCUAGAUCAAGGUCUCCUUAUAUGCAAGAGAGAGUGGUGAGGUCAUUUGGACAAAAGGAGAAACUUGCUAGUGCAAGUUUUGCUGAACUUCAAUUCUGGGCAGGAGAUAGAUGGCAUCAUUUCAUGAACUAAAAAUGAUCCAAUAAGUGCAUGCUCCUGGACUUAGGGGUUUUGCAGGGAGGACUAUAAGUAGGAAAAAGAAUCAAGAGCUAAAGAGCAAGCAAGAAUAUGGUUGUUGUACAAACCAUCAUGUUGGACCAGAAUGGAGAUGAGGUUGUUUCACUCAAAAUUUUCAAAUAACAUCACUGGGUUUUUGCAUAAAGUUGAAUCAUAUGCUACUACCAACAUCCCAUAAUUUUGGUGGAGGCCAGAAAGAAAUAUUUAAAAGGGUUUUAGUGCAAAAUUCCACUCUGGACCAGAGAAGAAAAAUUGAUGCAGAGCUCAAAAUAUUACAUGAAUAAAAGAUAUUUUCGUAUAGAAGUGAUUUAAAAACAUCACAUGACAUCUCCAAAUUUUGGUUGGAAUUUUAGGUGAAUUUAUCAAAUGGUUGUAGUUCAAUUAUGGCCAUAUAACCUUGGAAAACCAUUUUUCAAGAAAAUAAAGAUUAAGCAAAUUAAUUAUGUAAUUAGUUAUACUGAUAAAAGAAAAGUUUUUCUUGAGAGGUUAAACAAGUCCAAUAACAUAUUCGAAAUGUUUUCAUUUUAGGGAACAACUCAAUGAUAAUAAGAAAGGAAAUGUUUAAAAAAAUCAAAAGGGAGUCCAAAAAACAAAGUUUUAAUUCCUGGCAGAAAUUUUAAUUUAAUAAAACAAGGCCAAAAAUUUGGGGUGUCACAACACUACCCCCCUUAAGAAAAAUCUCGUCCUUGAGAUUUGUUAAAAGCUGUUUUAAGAAAAACUAUACGCAAUAAAAAUGUGGCUACAGUGAGAGGGCAAUAAGUGGUGAAAAACCACAGUGUGAAUUUUAGACUAUGUUCAUGAUAAUUAAGUUCAUAUAAUCAAAUUAUUUAAUGAACUCCCACUCAGAUAGACAUCCCUCUAGUCAUCUAAGUGAUACAUGAUCUGAGUCAACUAGGUCGUGUCCGAUCAUCACGUGAGACAGACUAGUCAUCAUCGGUGAACAUCUUCAUGUUGAUCGUAUCUUCUAUACGACUCAUGUUCGACCUUUCGGUCUUUCGUGUUCCGAGGCCAUGUCUGUACAUGCUAGGCUCGUCAAGUCAACCUAAGUGUAUUGCGUGUGUAAAUCUGGCUUACACCCGUUGUAUGCGAACGUUAGAACCUAUCACACCCGAUCAUCACAUGGUGCUUCGGAACAAUGGACCUUAGCAACGGUGCACAGUUAGGGGGAACAUUUUCUUGAAAUUAUUGCGAGGGAUCAUCUUAUUUAUGUUCUAAGAAAAUAAGAUGUAAAACAUGAUAAACAUCACAUGCAAUCAAAUAGUGACAUGAUAUGGCCAAUAUCAUUUUGCUCCUUUUGAUCUCCAUCUUCGGGGUGCCAUGAUCAUCAUUGUCACCGGCAUGACACCAUGACCUCCAUUAUCAUGAUCUCCAUCAUCAUGUCUUCAUGAAGUUGUCAAAUCAACUAUUAGUUCUACUACUAUGGCUAAUGGUUAGCGAUAAGGUUAAGUAAUUACAUGACGUUUAUGUUGACACGCAGGUCAUAAAUAAAUUAAGACAACUCCUAUGGCUCCUGCCGGUUGUCAUACUCAUCGACAUGCAAGUCGUGAUUCCUAUUAAAAGAACAUGAUCAAUCUCAUACAUCACAUAUAUCAUUAAUUGCAUCCUUUUGGCCAUAUCACAUCACACGACAUAUGCUGCAAGAACAAGUUAGACGUCCUCUAAUUGUUGUUGCAAGUUUUUACGUGGCUGCUAUAGGUUUCUAGCAAGAACGUUUCUUACCUACGCCAAAACCAGAAAAUUAUAUGCCAAUUUCUAUUUACCCUUCAUAAGGACCCUUUUCAUCGAAUCCGAUCCGACUAAACUGGGAGAGACAGACACCCGCUAGCCACCUUAUGCAACUAGUGCAUGUCAGUCGGUGGAACCAGUCUCACGUAAGCGUACGUGUAAGGUCGGUCCGGGCCGCUUCAUCCCACGACGCCUCCGAAUCAAGAUAAGACUAGUAACGGCAAGUAAAUUGACAAAAUUGACGCCCACAACAACUUGUGUUCUACUUGUGCAUAGAAACUACGCAUAAACCUGGCUCAUGAUGACAAUGUUGGGGAUCGUUGCAGAAAUUAAAAAAUUUCUACGCAUCACCAAGAUCAAUCUAUGGAGUAACUAGCAACAAGAGAGAAGGGGGUGCAUCUUCAUACCCUUGAAGAUUGCGAGUCGGAAGCGUUGCAAGAACGCGGUUGGAGGAGUUGUACACGUAGCGAUUCAGAUCGCGGCCGAAUCCGAUCUAAGCACCGAACAACGGCGCCUCCGUGUUCAACACACGUGCAGCCCAGUGACGUCUCCCGCGCCUUGAUCCAGCAAGGAGGAGGGAGUGGUUGAGGAAGAAGGCUCGAAUAGCAGCACGACGGCAUGGUGGUAAUGGAGUGGCAGUUCUCCGGCAGGGCUUCGCCAAGCUCACGCAAAGGAGGAGAGGUGUUGGGGAGGGGAGGGGAUGCGCCUUGGAUGUGGUGUUGCAGCCCUCCCCUCGCCCCUCUAUUUUUAGGGAGAAGGGGGAAGGGGGCCGGCCCCUCUAGAUGAGAUCUAAAGGGGGGCGGCGGCCAUGGGGGAGGGGGCUUGCCGCCCAAGCAAGGGUUGCACCCCCCUUUAGGGUUCCCCCCAAACCGUAGGCGCAUGGGCCCUAGGGUGGGAUGGCGCACAGCCCACUAGGGGCUGGUUCCCUUCCACCUACAGCCCAUAAGGCCCUCCGGGGAAGGUGGACCCUCCCGGUGGACCCCCGGAACCCCUCCCGGUGGACCCCUGGAACCCCUCCGGUGGUCCCGGUACAAUACCGCAUACCCCCGAAUAUUUCCGGUGACCGUAUGAUGACUUCCCAUAUAUAAAUCUUCACCUCCGGACUAUUCCGGAACUCCUCGUGACAUCCGGGAUCUCAUCCGUGACUCUGAACAACAUUCGGUAAUCACAUACAAAUCUUCCUAAUAACCCUAGUGUCAUCGAACCUUAAGUGUGUAGACCCUACGGGUUCAGGAACCAUGCAGACAUGACCGAGACAACUCUCCGGCCAAUAACCAAUAGCGGGAUCUGUAUACCCAUGUUGGCUCCCACAUGUUCCACGAUGAUCUCAUCGGAUGAACCACGAUGUCGAGGAUUCAAGCAAUCAUGUAUACAAUUCCCUUUGUCAAUCGGUACGUUACUUGCCCGAGAUUCGAUCGUCGGUAUCCCAAUACCUCGUUCAAUCUCAUUACCGGCAAGUCACUUUACUCAUUCCGUAACACAUCAUCCCGUGACCAACCCUUUAGUCACAUUGAGCUCAUUACGAUGAUGUCUUACCGAGUGGGCCCAGAGAUACUUAUCCGUCAUACGGAGUGACAAAUCCCAGUCUCGAUUCGUGCCAACCCAACAGACACUUUCGGAGAUACCCGUAGUGCACCUUUAUAGCCACCCAGUUACGUUGUGACGUUUGGCACACCCAAAGUAUUCCUACAGUAUCCGGGAGUUGCACAGUCUCAUGGUCUAAGGAAAAGAUACUUGACAUUAGAAAAGCUCUAGCAGACGAACUACACGAUCUUGUGCUAUGCUUAGGAUUGGGUCUUGUCCAUCACAUCUUUCCCUAAAUGAUGUGAUCCCAUUAUCAAUGACAUCCAAUGUCCAUAGUCAGGAAACCAUGACCAUUUGUUGAUCAACGAGCUAGUCAACUAGAGGAUCACUAGGGACAUGUUGUUGUCUAUGUAUUCACACAUGUAUCACGAUUUCCGGAUAAUACAAUUAUAGCAUGAACAAUAGACAAUUAUCAUGAACAAGGAAAUAUAAUAAUAACCAUUUUAUUAUUGCCUCUAGGGCAUAUUUCCAACACCAGGAGACUUGGAGUGGCCGUCAAGAAAUAAGGGAGGAAGGCACGAGGCACGGGGGCGCGCCUACCCCCCUGGGCACUCCCUUCACCCUCGUGGGCCCUCUGUUGCUCCACCGACGUAUUUCUUCCUCCUAUAUAUAUAUUUACACGUACCCCCCCCCCCUAAACAUCCAGGAGCACCAUGAAAACCUAAUUCCACCGCCNNNNNNNNNNNNNNNNNNNNNNNNNNNNNNNNNNNNNNNNNNNNNNNNNNNNNNNNNNNNNNNNNNNNNNNNNNNNNNNNNNNNNNNNNNNNNNNNNNNNNNNNNNNNNNNNNNNNNNNNNNNNNNNNNNNNNNNNNNNNNNNNNNNNNNNNNNNNNNNNNNNNNNNNNNNNNNNNNNNNNNNNNNNNNNNNNNNNNNNNNNNNNNNNNNNNNNNNNNNNNNNNNNNNNNNNNNNNNNNNNNNNNNNNNNNNNNNNNNNNNNNNNCGAGAGAUCCCAUCUCGAGGCCUUUUCCAGAGCUCCGCCAGAGGGGGCAUUGAUCACGGAGGGCCUCUACAUCAACUACAUGGCCUCUCUGGUGAUGUGUGAGUAGUUUACUUCAGACCUACGGGUCCAUAGUUAUUAGCUAGAUGGCUUCUUCUCUCUCUUUGGAUCUCAAUACAAAGUUCUCCUCGAUUUUCUUGGAGAUCUAUUCGAUGUAAUCUUCUUUUGCGGUGUGUUUGUCGAGUUUCGAUGAAUUGUGGGUUUAUGAUCCAGAUUAUCUAUGAACAAUAUUUGAUUCUCCUCUGAAUUAUUUUAUGUAUGAUUGGUUUAUCUUUGCAAGUCUCUUCGAAUUAUCAGUUUGGUUUGGCCUACUAGAUUGAUCUUUCUUGCAAUGGGAGAAGUGCUUAGCUUUGGGUCAAUCUUGCGGUGCUCGAUCCCAGUGACAGAAAGGGAACCGACACGUAUUGUAUUGUUGCCAUCGAGGAUAAAAAGAUGGGGUUUAUAUCAUAUUGCAUGAGUUUAUCCCUCUACAUCAUGUCAUCUUCCUUAAAGCAUUACUCUGUUCUUAUGAACUUAAUACUCUAGAUGCAUGCUGGAUAGCGGUCGAUGUGUGGAGUAAUAGUAGUAGAUGCAGAAUCAUUUCGGUAUACUUGUCUCGGGUGUGAUGCCUAUAUACAUGAUCAUACCUAGAUAUUCUCAUAACUAUGCUCAAUUCUAUCAAUUGCUCGACAGUAAUUCGUUUACCCACUAUAAUACUUAUGCUCUUGAGAGAAGCCACUAGUGAAACCUAUGGCCCCCGGGUCUAUCUUUCAUCAUAUUAAUCUUCCAAUACUUAGUUAUUUCCUUUGCCAUUUAUUUUACUUUGCAUCUUUAUCAUAAAAAUACCAAAAAUAUUAUGUUAUCAUAUCUAUCAGAUCUUUGUCUCGUAAGUGACCGUGAAGGGCUUGACAACCCCUUUAUCGCAUUGGUUGCGAGGUUCUUAUUUGUUUGUGUAGGUGCAUGGGACUUGAGCGUGAUCUCCUACUGGAUUGAUACCUUGGUUCUCAAAAACUGAGGGAAAUACUUACGCUACUUUGUUGCAUCACCCUUUCCUCUUCAAGGGAAAAACAACGCAGUGCUUAAGAGGUAGCAGGCCAAACUCGCGACGCCGAAGUACGCUGUAAAAGUUGUUCGGACUUUGUUGGCAACUCAUUUGUUCCCAUACCGAGCCCCUAGCAAGUUAAGCCGGGGUAUGUUUGUGAAACAACCAUGGGAGGCGUAUUUAUUUGCAGAAAGACGUGGGUAAUUAAUUCGGAUAGUGUGAACUGGGACCCCCUCUAAAAUUCCAUAAAAGGCCAAUCAUUUUUCCCAUAAAGGUGUGUGAGUUCUUCUGCCAGGUCUACCCUAGGCCAUAUGUUAGCACUUGCAGCUAAAUUUGGUUUCGAUUUCUCCAGUUCCCUCACCACAUUAAUGAAGGAAAAUUAAUUAUCAGAAAUUUCAACACCACACAUAGUUAAAACACAAUGGAACAAAAAAUACAGUACAGUUUCUAUACUGAUUGGUAACUUAGCUCCAAAACUGGAGCACGCUAUGCAGAGCUAACUAGAUAAAGUCGAUCGAGCCAAGCUUCGUAAUACCAAGCUUCUCUUGAGCCAUGCAAUUACAUCAGUGACUUGAGCGAUCGAGCUUUAACAGGCUUCCUCCACCUCGUCUUGAACGGGCUCUUCAUCGUGACAAUGUUGCGCAGUUGUUUGCCAUUGUAACCAAGUGUGUCGUUGUUGCUGCUGUCCUCAUCGCAGCUGACAAUGUUGGAAUUGCUCCCAUUGAGCCUAGGCUUCUCGACCUGUGUUGAUGUCGGCAGAGCCUGAUGAUCAGUUACAUUAGCUUGGCUUGCACUAAAAUCAAAUUGUGUUUGGGUGCAUGCCUCAUCUUUCUGUUGUUCAAUGGGUAGUGGAGGUUAUUCCAGCACACUAGUGCCACCGCUUGAUCUGCGAUGCCUCUUGGAGCUGCGUGAGGGGCACAAACCUAUCGUAGUAGUAGAACGCCUCACCCAUGUCAACGAUGGGCCUCUUCUUUUGUGGCCUUUUGCCAUCCCUCUUCUUGCAUGUCCUCACUCCCUUCUUCACUUUGAUCCCCUUAUUCGUCUUUGACUUGCUCUCAUUCUCCUUCCCCUCCAUCGCUUUCAUAGCCAUGUUGAGGUCCCCAUCGACCAUAUCUACAGUCGUCUUCUCCUUGAUGGAGCCAAUGGGCAUGCUGAUACUGGAUGGGAAGAGCCAACUAGCUCGUCUGAUAGUUCUGAAGUAAGUCUUCUCGAAGCGUUCCUCCACCUGAAUGAGAUGGUAAUUUGGAAAAUACUUCUCAAGGAUAAAAAGAGCUAGCACUAGUAGUAAAAUGAACUGAAAUGGGGUAUAGUCAAGUACUCCGUGCGUUCGGAAAUACUUGUUGGUGAAAUGGAUACAAAUGAAAGUAUCUAGAACUAAAAUACGUCUAGAUACAUCCAUUUCUCCGAUAAGUAUUUUCGAACGGAGGGAGUACUAUCGUAUGCAGAAAGGAACCUAAUAGCCCGCAAACAUUCGCUGGGAGGAUGACAAUUUCUUCCGAAACAUGUGACAACUUAUGGGAAGAAGGGAAAAAAUGCGGCAAAAAAGGCAGGAUUUGCCAUCUCCCACCACGUAAACUUGCCACACAAAAAUGUUCGCUUGUCACCCCCUUCCCAGCUGACAUUUACCAGAUAACAUAUCCCAUGUAGGAUUGCAGAUUAUUUUGGUUAAAUUCAUGUUCAAUAUGUACCUAUAUCUAGGUAAAAAAAUUGAACUCAAUUUGAUUUUAAGUUGCAUCUGAAAUUUUCCUAGUAAUACUAGUAACCGCGGUAACCAAGCAUAUCUCGCCACCCCACAAGAAAAAAAAUCUCCAUUCCUAAUCUAAAACAUUGGGCAAGAUCCAUGGCCGAUCUUGCUGCCAUUGCCACGCCAGCGCGGCCACCUACCAGCCACAUAUUACAGCGAGAUCGCGCGUGGUAACUACAGGACCUUGACGCAACACCAUUUACUUGGUAACGCACCUGGCAGAGGAAAGCUAGGUUAAACACGUUGGGUGCUGCAUAGAAACAAGCGGCGGCGUGCAAAUCUUCGACACACACAUACAUACAACAAGCACCAAGCAAGUAGCGGGAAGGCAGGAAAGUGAGAUGGAGCGAGUGGGGCGAAAUUACCUCGGGAUCCGAGUGGUCGAUCUUAGCCAUGAGUUCCCAUGGCGACCUGCUGAGCUCGCAGCAAGGCUGCCCGCAAGAGGAGGCCUCGGCACUAUUAGAAAAGGGGGCUUUGGUCCAGGCCGGGUAAUCCCAUUAGUCCCGGUUCAGUCCAGAACCGGGACCAAUGGGUGCAUUUAUCCCGAUUCGUAGGCAUUAGUCCCGGUUCACCUGGGCCCUUUAGUCCCGGUUCGUGCCACGAACCGGGACUAAAGGGUGCGAAGCCCAUUAGUCCCGGUUGGUGGCACCAACCAGGACUAAAGGUCUAACCUUUAGUACCGGUUGGUGCCACCAACCUGGACUAAUGGCCUUUGAGGCAUNNNNNNNNNNNNNNNNNNNNNNNNNNNNNNNNNNNNNNNNNNNNNNNNNNNNNNNNNNNNNNNNNNNNNNNNNNNNNNNNNNNNNNNNNNNNNNNNNNNNNNNNNNNNNNNNNNNNNNNNNNNNNNNNNNNNNNNNNNNNNNNNNNNNNNNNNNNNNNNNNNNNNNNNNNNNNNNNNNNAAAAAACAAAAGAAAAUGAUGGAAAUGUCAAUAAAAUAAAAUAAAAUAAGUUUCCCAUGUGAUAUGUGGUCUAGUUGUUGGGAAAAUUUACAAAUAUAAAUUUCGACUUUAUUUACAAAUAUGAAUUUCGACUUUAUUUGUAAAAUGGGCAUAACUUUUGCAUACAAACUCGGAUUAAAAAGCUUUAAGCAAGAUGACAUGAUGUAGAGAGAUAAAUUCAUGCAAUAUGAAAUAAACCCCAUCUUGUUAUCCUCGAUGGCAAUGAUACAAUACGUGUCUUGCUGCCCCUUCUGUCACUGGGAAAGAACACCGCAAGAUCGAACCCAAAGCUAAGCACUUCUCCCAUGGCAAGAACUACCAAUCUAGUUGGCCAAACCAAACGGAUAAUUCGAAGAGACUUGCAAAGAUAACCAAUCAUACAUAAAAGAAUUCAGAGAAGAUUCAAAUAUUGUUCAUAGAUAGACUUGAUCAUAAACCCACAAUUCAUCGGUCUCAACAAACACACCGCAAAAGAAGAAGAUUACAUCAAAUAGAUCUCCACAAGAGAGGGGGAGAACAUUGUAUUGAGAUCCAAAAAGAGAGAAGAAGCCAUCCAGAUACUAACUAUGGACCCGAACGUCUGAGGUAAACUACUCACACUUCAUUGGAGGGGCUAUGAUGAUGUAGAAGCCCUCCGUGAUGACGGCCCUCUCCGGCGGAGCUCCGGAACAGGCCCCAAGAUGGGAUCUCGUGGAUACAGAAAGUUGCGGCGGUGGAAUUAGGUUUUUGGCUCAUGUUUUGAUCGUUUGGGGUACGUGGGUAUAUAUAGGAGGAAGGAGUACGUCGGUGGAGCACCGAGGGGCCCACGAGGCUGGGGGCGCGCCCUGUAGGGGGGGGGCGGCCCCUACUCUCGUGAACGCCUCUGGUACUUUUUGGAGUAGGGUCCAAGUCUCCUGGGUCUUAUCCAAGAAGAAAAUCACAUUCCAAAAAGGAUUUUUCUGUUUAGACUCCGUUUGAUAUUCUGUUUCUUCGAAACACUGAAAUAGGCAAAAAACUGCAAUUCUGGCUGGGCCUCCGGUUAAUAGGUUAGUCCCAAAAAUAAUAUAAAAGUGGAAAAUAAAGCCCAAUAUAGUCCAAAACAGUAGAUAAUAUAGCAUGGAGCAAUCAAAAAUUAUAGAUACGUUGGAGACGUAUCAAGCUUCUACUUUUGAACAAAGUAAAAUGCAAUGCACAUAGAUAGACAUGCAUCGUAGGCAAUACUUGUUUCUAAGUUAGCUAAGCAUAAUCUGUUGUUUAAUCCAAAUUGUGUUAUCAAAAGUUGCGCAGAAUGUGUUCUGGUCUUGCUUCAUGGAUUAGUUUUCUCAUAAAACUAAUGUGCCUGGACAACAGUUUGCUCCACUAAUGUUAUAUCUCUCUCAUUGUAGGAUGGCAAGUUGUGGCAGCUGGAGCAUGUCGCAUAAGAGAGAGCAAUGAAAUCCAUUGUAUUGUUCCUUUAAAAAAAGUACAUUGUGUUGUUAUGAUAGUAGCAGAUGUGCCAUC
RNAcentral lists this long non-coding RNA (32719 nucleotides) under Triticum aestivum (bread wheat). Its description in RNAcentral is "long non-coding RNA (TAES_LNC002184)". The stretch from base 29869 to 29993 matches the Rfam family "MIR1120/MIR1122 microRNA precursor family". The record is from RNAcentral. Lineage: Eukaryota; Viridiplantae; Streptophyta; Magnoliopsida; Poales; Poaceae.